GAAUAAGAAGUAAAACAUUACAUUCAGUUUCGACCUGAAAAAUGGUAUAAUGAAUACCCUUAUUUU
This 66-nucleotide transfer RNA is filed under the name Chorthippus sp. AHNU01. RNAcentral's name for it is "tRNA-Arg". Lineage: Eukaryota; Metazoa; Arthropoda; Insecta; Orthoptera; Acrididae. The record is from RNAcentral.